Molecule: long non-coding RNA, 5239 nt
Organism: Pelmatolapia mariae (spotted tilapia)
Lineage: Eukaryota; Metazoa; Chordata; Actinopteri; Cichliformes; Cichlidae
Exons: 2
Source: RefSeq, a predicted model, not a curated record
GCGCCCAGUUCUGCGCCUCCCACUCGUUCUUUCCCUCUGGAUAGAAAAAAUAAAAAGGGCUCCCUGCUGCACCAGUUGAUCACUAGAGCAGGGGAGAGGGGGGGGUGAGGCGCGGUGAGGUUAAAAGGAUGAUGGGUAUCCUCUGGCACUCAAAAGAUUAAGCACCUUAUACUGAACUAAUGCACUUUAUUGAGAUGGGAUUUGAAUAGUUUUUCUUUUUGUUCGUGUGUGUGUGUAUGCGUGCUGUUCAGAAUCAGCGCGCAUAUGGUGUGUGUACAUGCACAUUAUCGGCGUGCGCAGCAGAACUGGAAGGGGGCGGUGAAAACAGCGAGCAGGGCCGAGCGGGCGGGACGUUAGGUUUUCAAAUUCAGGGGGACCUUUAGUUGAAACCUUAUCAGAGAGCAAAUCCUUUCUCAAAAGACAAACACUGUUGAUAUUUCUCUUGUUUAGCAUUUUUUUUUUUUUUUUGGUUCUGUUUUUUACGUUUAUAUAAAAAGUAAAGCUAUUGAAAAAUGGAUUAUAAAAAAAAAACUUGAAGAUUUGCACUUGCCUAAAAAAACGAAAUAAGAAAAACGACAAAAAAAACAAAACAGAUGGGGUUAGUUAUAGAAGUGAAUAUUUUUGUGAAUGUGUAUGAGCGACUGGGAGUGGCUGAUGUGUGGCGGCUGAGUUGUGUCAGUAAUAAACAGUCUGCACAAGUUUUUUUUCUUUUGUUGCUUACCAAGAUGUAUGAAACAUAAGAGGCCAUUUUUGUCUUUUCUGUUUGGAUAGUCAUUUUGUAUUCAUGUUUAGAGUGUGUGUGUAUGUGGUCCUUUCCAGACAAGGAUGUGUGUGUGUUAUGGGUGUGACUGAAUGCUCGUGUGUGUGUGUGUGUGUCUGUGUGUGUGUGUGUGUGUGUGUAUGAGAGAGAGGGCAAUUGCACAACACAUCCUUUCUCUCACCAGCUCUUCAUCCCCUGAUAGAAAACCAGAAAUGCAUAUAUUUGUAAAUGUUAGCUUUGCUCUCAUCACAUGACGACCACCACUAGUUUAUUUCCCUGAGCUUCUCCCCAUGGGGAGCCGUCUCUAGACCUGGAAGGGACUAAGCAGACGUGGCGAAUCAUGAGGGACAUUACUGUGUGCGCAUGCGAGUGAGAUUUUCAGUGUGCGUGUUUAGAGUACAUGUUCAUUUACUGUUCAUAGAAAUGAGUUAAAACUACAGGUACUCAUUUUUCUUGUUGUUGUUAUUUUCUUGUAUGUGUAUGAAUGCACAUUUGUGCCUAAGAACUUGGAUAGGGUGCAUGGCCAUCGAGACAUUAACUCUUUUUUGAGAGCGAGUGUGGUGCGUGUCAGUGCUCAGCACAGUGUAUGUAAAGUAUGUACGUUUCUAUGGUAAAUAUUUCUAGUUGAGUCUAGGGGUGAUCCAUCGGAAGGCUUAGUCCAGCGUGUUUUUCCUGGGGGUGUGAUCACGUUGCCUUUUGUCAGCUCUCGAACUUGUGAAUGAAAGGUGUCGAGUUUCUGACUCUGAAAUACAAAAAACCACAAAAAAACAAUUAAAAAAUACAGCAUCUUAAUGUGCGAGUGCACAGAACGGUGCAUGAAAUGUUAGCAUAUUGUGUUACAUAUUCGUUGUUGCAAUUUGAUAAUGACGAGUUUUCUUUUUUAAAUGAAAAAUAUAUAUAAAUAUAUACAUUAUAUACAAAGUUUAAAAGUAUUUGGACUAAGAUGAGCACUUGGGGCUGCUAUUUUUGUUGUGUGUUUUUAAUUUUCUUUUCCUUAAUUUUUUUUUUCCAUUUUUUGCCAUGUGAAGUGUGUAUUAUUUUUCUUUUCUUAAGAAAAUAUUGAAUGUAUUCCAAAAAAAAAAUGACAAGAAACCCGUGCUGAUACAAGAUUUUGUUUUUGUUCCUCAGAAGAUUUCAAAAAUGGAAACAAAACCGAAAAAAGCUUCAAAGAGUUGAGCGGGGUCUUUUUUUUUUUUUUUCUUUUUUUUCAUUUACACAGUGGAGGAGAGAGACAAACUCGAGAUGGAUACAGUUGAACACACUGCCUCUACAAUCCUGGUCGUACAAAUGGUGACUAAAGAAAGGACUCUUUCUAUUCCAUACUGGAGCUUUGGUUGUUUACAAGCCACAUGGAUAUCUGUGGGUGCAGUUUUAUUCUUUUGUUUUAUCUUUUUUUGUUCCCACAUGAGACGGGUGGGGUUUGCAAGUGCGCUUCUGCCAUAAGGACAUUGAGUGGUGUGGUGGUGUUUUUGUUUAUUUUGGUUCGUUGUUUUUGAGGAAGAGUGGCAGGCAUCACAACAACAUGGACAGGAUCCUCUAACUAGAUCUGUGUCGUGGGUCCUGAGACUUGAUCAGCCGUGGAGCGGAGGCAGAAAAAUCAAGGAUGGGGCUGUGUUUUGUGGAGAACCGAGUGCAGGGCUGCAAACCCUGGAGGGGGAACUUGAGAGGACGGUAUGAGCGCACCCGCUCGGUGCUCUCGUCUUCACCUCGGCCCUCGAAAGCACUCGCACCCUGCCCUCACCGACUCACCUAUGCACUUUUGUUCAUUCAAGCUGUGAGGUACAAUUUUGGGGAUGGGAGCACAAUUACAACAGGAGGAUUGCUACGACUUUGACAAAGUCACUGAAAAAGAAAUUCCCAAACUGAAAUAAGAGACUCGAGAAGCUCGUCUUCUCCCACCUCCUGUACAUAACCAUAUUUUUGUAUUACCUUUCAGAGUAGAAAGAAAAAAAUGCAAAAUGGAUGAAGGAAAAUUCAUUGAUUAUAUGGAGUGAAUGUUCUUCAAGAAAACCAAUCUUUUUUUUUUAAUCUAGUUUGAGAUGGGACUCGCUGAGAGUUUAGUUUGCCAGUAGCCCUAAAGUAAUCGGGGAAGGAACGUAAAACCACGUGGACUGAGGUGGUGGCCAUGCUGCAGUGGCUCCAAGACUGACUGAUAGCUACUUAUCAAAAUGGAUGUUGCAGUGGCUACAAAGAGCCCACCAAGAGUGUUUGAUCAACACGCACAGUAAAGAGAUGGACACUGAUGACAGCCUCAAGAGCUGCAGAGUGACUACCGGAGGACAAGUGCUUGGCAUUGGAGUCUGGCUGUGCUUUAUUUGCUGCCCUCUGCAAGGAGGAUCUUAUCUACAGCCAACCCAUGAACCAGUGAACCCUAAACCUGUCCUUUUGAACUUAGACCCUAAGAAACUUUUUUUGACCUCAGUGUGGGCAGGCCAAUGGCAUUAUACGUUGGACAGAUGAAGUUACAGGUUUAUCAACUCUUCAUCCCCUUUUUGCUGGAAGUGUUCGGUUAAGGAUUUAAUCCCACACUCCAUCUAAGAAGAGGAUACAAAGGCUUGCGUUGCCCAGAAGUUCAUCAUCCACCUCAGCCGGAAAACUCUCGGAUGGUGGUCUUAAAGGUCUUCUAGCCAUUGGGACCGACGAGCCGCUCUCCUGCCCAGAUGUCAGAGACAGUGUGCUGGGAUGAGUUUUGGUGGACGUGGCCGGAUUACAUCUCAGCCAUCACAAAAGGCUGCUGCUGUGGAACUGGAUGAACUGAAAGAAUUGUACAAGGAAAAAAAGGACUUUUGAAAACAAAACACAAAACUAUCAUAUGUCACAUAAAUUCUCAAGUCCAAAGGAGCAGGCAGACACACUACAUGCACACUCACAGCUAAAGUUACAUUGGCUCUCCUCUGGAACAAUGUCUACACACACAUGCACACACACACCAGAGAUACACAAUAUCAAAUGACACAAAGACACACAAGCAUCAACGCCCAGCAGCAUAAACGCUGAGCUUUGUAAAUAAUGUAAAAGUUAGUGUUUUUUGAGUUUUCUCCAUAAUGGCUUUUGCUUUAUUUCUUUGUUCAACAUGCCUUAAAUUGUAUAGUUCAGUCUGAAAUGGCUUACUGAAAACGUUCUCAGUUUAAGUUGGAAACCACCUCGUUAACUGUACUCUAAAGAACGUUUUAACAAGACGUCUGUUCGCUGACAGACUUGUCCUGUAUAAAAGUGUAAAUGUGAUCUACUUUAAAGAUACUAGUUAACUAAAGAAUAGAGCAAUGAGGGCUUUUUGGUUGAUCUAAUUUUACUGGUGGUUGGAUUUUUGUUGCCCUUUUUUUUUCGUUUUGAUUCAAAUAAAGCGUGGAUUCGUUGAGAUUUCCUAUUUAGAUUACUGCUGAAGGUGCAGGCUUGACAAAGGGCUGAAGUCUGUGCUGCCUGGAGCUGGGCUUACUGGGUAAUAUGCAGAGGUUCAUCUCAGAGCACGCGCUUGUUGCUGUGUCGUAUCUGUCGUUGGAUACAGUCCUUGGCAAAACUGAACCAGAAUGGCAGGUCGUCCUCAAAUUGAUUUGUUUUCUUUACACUCCAGGGGACUAAAAUGUUUUAGGAGUUGGAUAUUUUUACAGUUUUGACAUAGUGAUUCUCACUUGUCUAAUGGGAGUGCUUGUAAGAACAAGCAUGUAUAAUGGUUGGUAAUAUUUGUGGGUUUGACACUAAGAUCUGUGUAUCUAAUAGUGCUGCUGACCAUCAGUGAUGGCACUGAAUCGAUACGGAAGCGACCAGGCUGUGGUGUGUCUGAAAUCUGAAAGGUCUUCUCGGACCGCGUCUUUACUCUGUAUGUCUCAUUGAAUUUAAGAGAUUCGUGUUUUUAGUCAUUCUAUAGUUUGUUUGUUUUUUCCUUCUUUAUAACCAAACAUAUGCAGUUUUUUAUCCAAAUGGAAACUGAUGUUUAUUGAAUACCGUCAGUUUAGACUUGUUAAAAGUUUCUGGUCAACUGUGGGUGUGGUGUGCAGUUUUCUUCUAUAGGUAAGUGAAAUAGCCACAGUUGGCAUCGGUAUGUCAUAACUGUUGAAUUGAUAUUGAAUUAUUACUUUAAAUGUUAUCACAUUUUUUAAAAAGCUGAUACUGUGAUGGAUGAAUCAUCAGUCUAUUUUACUGCACUACAAAAGCUUUUAUGAUCAGAGAAACCACAGUAUUGUGUCUAAAGACCCUGGUUGAUGAGCAGCUUGACCCGCCUGCUUCAGGAUAGAAAGUAUAGAUGGAAAGAUUACCUGGUUCAGUUUUGCUGGUUACUGUAACACCGACUGUAAAGAUGGACUCAUGGGUAUACCCCAGUCAGUCCAGCUCCUUCACUUAAUACGUCUUUGAAUGUUGUUAAAAUAACAGCAUACAUGUAAUGAAAAUGUUUUGGAAAAGAACAACUGAAAAGAAGUGUAAAUAGUUUGGCUUUUGUUUGAAGAACAAAAUAAAUACUAAAUAAAUAGCAUUUAGCUGUGA